AGGGUAUGUCUUCACUAGAGGAGGGUUUGUGGAACUGUCCAAAAAGCUUUCUCUACCUCUAAGUUCCACUCUUGACAGAUAUGAGGGUCUGGUUCUUUCUGUUGGUGGAAAUGGAAGAUCCUAUGUAUUAAUUCUCGAGGCUGGUCCAUUGGCGGAUCCAAGUCAGAGCAAGUUAUAUUUUGCAAGAAUUAGUACAAAAGUGGGAUUUUGUAGGGUUAGAGUACCA
Molecule: long non-coding RNA, 226 nt
Organism: Arachis duranensis
Lineage: Eukaryota; Viridiplantae; Streptophyta; Magnoliopsida; Fabales; Fabaceae
Exons: 3
Source: RefSeq, a predicted model, not a curated record